GCGAGUUCCCCUCGUUUGAUCCUCUCUCUGGUGAGGGAUCGUUUGGGGUGUUUACAAUCCCAAACCCAAUGUGAACGUUACCAAACUGUUGCCUCGGCGGGUUCACGCCCCGGGUGCGUCGCAGCCCCGGAACCAGGCGCCCGCCGGAGGAACCAACCAAACUCUUUCUGUAGUCCCCUCGCGGACGUAUUUCUUACAGCUCUGAGCAAAAAUUCAAAAUGAAUCAAAACUUUCAACAACGGAUCUCUUGGUUCUGGCAUCGAUGAAGAACGCAGCGAAAUGCGAUAAGUAAUGUGAAUUGCAGAAUUCAGUGAAUCAUCGAAUCUUUGAACGCACAUUGCGCCCGCCAGUAUUCUGGCGGGCAUGCCUGUCCGAGCGUCAUUUCAACCCUCGAACCCCUCCGGGGGAUCGGCGUUGGGGAUCGGGACCCCUCACACGGGUGCCGGCCCCGAAAUACAGUGGCGGUCUCGCCGCAGCCUCUCCUGCGCAGUAGUUUGCACAACUCGCACCGGGAGCGCGGCGCGUCCACGUCCGUAAAACACCCAACUUUCUGAAAUGUGGACCUCGGAUCAGGUAGGAAACCCGCGACUAGCCUUUUCCCCCCCCC
Molecule: ribosomal RNA, 607 nt
Filed under: Trichoderma asperellum
Lineage: Eukaryota; Fungi; Ascomycota; Sordariomycetes; Hypocreales; Hypocreaceae
Description: eukaryotic LSU rRNA
Rfam family: 5.8S ribosomal RNA (bases 228-381)
Source: RNAcentral